ACUUGGAACCAGGAUCUCUAACCCAACAGAGCUUCAGUUUACCAGGGCAAGAAGGACCAACUCCAAAUCGGUGGUCCUGGAAGACAUGGUGAAGGCGUCCAUCCUGUCUCCAUCCCUUACUUUCCUGCAAGAAGAUGACACAGGAGGUUUGCAGACCUUUAUGGUUGGAGCCAUCAAGAGGGGGACUUCAGGGAAAGAAGCUGACCCAUCCUUGGUGCUUGUGAAGACAUCUAUGUGGUGGCUGGGGCUGGAUCCCUGGGCCGCGGCAGUAGUCAGAGACCACGGAGGAGGAGAGGGGCCACAGAAGAGGCCAGAAGGAGAGGCUGUUGAGGAGACAACCAGAAGGCUGCCAUCAGCAAACCAGGAAGCAGGACCCCUUCCUAUGUCACGUCCACCAGCACCCCGAUCGUGGACCUCCCGGCCUCUGGGACUGUGAGAAGUAGACGUUGGUUGAGUU
Molecule: long non-coding RNA, 457 nt
Filed under: Mustela putorius furo (domestic ferret)
Lineage: Eukaryota; Metazoa; Chordata; Mammalia; Carnivora; Mustelidae
Description: lncRNA (ENSMPUG00000027385.1)
Source: RNAcentral